Molecule: non-coding RNA, 30 nt
Filed under: Callithrix jacchus (white-tufted-ear marmoset)
Lineage: Eukaryota; Metazoa; Chordata; Mammalia; Primates; Cebidae
Also listed under: 5 other names
Source: RNAcentral
GCCCGGAUGAUCCUCAGUGGUCUGGGGUGC